Long non-coding RNA from Colius striatus (speckled mousebird), 461 nucleotides. RefSeq lists it as uncharacterized. The record is from RefSeq and is a predicted model, not a curated record. The transcript has 3 exons. Lineage: Eukaryota; Metazoa; Chordata; Aves; Coliiformes; Coliidae.
GUUGGAGACCUUAGGAAAUUUAAUCCUGUGGAACACUUAAAAGUAACACCUUCAGAAGAAAAAUUUCAGCUAUAUCUGUUGUCCUUUGUCCUAUCAUUGGUCAUCUGAGAAGGCUAGGCAAGACAAAACUGAAGUAGAGAGGCCACAGAUACCAAAAUGCAUGCACAGGAUCUGCAGAGAAGGCCUCUGGAGAGAGAAAACUGCAAGGAUUUUAGAAAUCUUUCUGCAAAGUCUUAGACUAUUUGCUGGAAUGGUCAGCAUCUGUAACAGCAUGAAUUGUAAAGUCAACAUCCACAGAGAGAACACACUGGGAAAUUUUCAAGAGUCUGGACAGCAGAUUUGGAGGUCAGCACAGGUCUUGGCCUGGGAAAUUUCUAGAAUAAUCUGAAAGAGGCAAAACUGUAACGAGCUUUUCAGCAGAGCUUGUAUAAAAACCUUGUAUUAAACUCUUUCCAUUCCAA